RNAcentral lists this ribosomal RNA (460 nucleotides) under uncultured bacterium. Its description in RNAcentral is "partial 16S ribosomal RNA". It matches the Rfam family "Bacterial small subunit ribosomal RNA", at positions 338 to 795 of the family's 1533-position model. The record is from RNAcentral.
CCUACGGGAGGCAGCAGUGAGGAAUAUUGGUCACUGGACGAGAGUCUGAACCAGCCAAGUAGCGUGAAGGAUGACUGCCCUAUGGGUUGUAAACUUCUUUUAUAUGGGAAUAAAAUGUUCCACGUGUGGGAUUUUGUAUGUACCAUAUGAAUAAGGAUCGGCUAACUCCGUGCCAGCAGCCGCGGUAAUACGGAGGCUCCGAGCGUUAUCCGGAUUUAUUGGGUUUAAAGGGAGCGUAGGUGGAUUGUUAAGUCAGUUGUGAAAGUUUGCGGCUCAACCGUAAAAUUGCAGUUGAAACUGGCAGUCUUGAGUACAGUAGAGGUGGGCGGAAUUCGUGGUGUAGCGGUGAAAUGCUUAGAUAUCACGAAGAACUCCGAUUGCGAAGGCAGUUCACUGGACUGCAACUGACACUGAGGCUCGAAAGUGUGGGUAUCAAACAGGAUUAGAUACCCUAGUAGUC